UGGAUGAAUCUUUAGCAAAGAUUAAACC
RNAcentral lists this non-coding RNA (28 nucleotides) under Rattus norvegicus (Norway rat). Lineage: Eukaryota; Metazoa; Chordata; Mammalia; Rodentia; Muridae. The record is from RNAcentral.